RNAcentral lists this ribosomal RNA (253 nucleotides) under uncultured prokaryote. RNAcentral describes it as "partial 16S ribosomal RNA". It matches the Rfam family "Bacterial small subunit ribosomal RNA", at positions 525 to 777 of the family's 1533-position model. The record is from RNAcentral.
ACGGGGGGGGCAAGCGUUGUUCGGAAUUACUGGGCGUAAAGGGUUCGUAGGUGGCUCGCUAAGUCACACGUGAAAUCCCUCAGCUUAACUGGGGAACUGCGUGUGAGACUGGCAAGCUCGAGUGCAGGAGAGGAAUGCGGAAUUCCAGGUGUAGCGGUGAAAUGCGUAGAUAUCUGGAGGAACACCGGUGGCGAAGGCGGCAUUCUGGACUGCAACUGACACUGAGGAACGAAAGCCAGGGGAGCAAACGGGA